ACCACGGCAUGCUCAGUACGGCGAGUGAAGCGGCAAGAGCUCAAAUUUGAAAGCUGGCUCCUUCGGGGUCCGCAUUGUAAUUUGCAGAGGAUGCUUCGGGUGCAGCCCCCGUCUAAGUGCCCUGGAACGGGCCGUCAUAGAGGGUGAGAAUCCCGUAUGGGGCGGGGUGUCUGCGUCCGUGUGAAGCUCCUUCGACGAGUCGAGUUGUUUGGGAAUGCAGCUCUAAAUGGGUGGUAAAUUUCAUCUAAAGCUAAAUACUGGCCGGAGACCGAUAGCGCACAAGUAGAGUGAUCGAAAGAUGAAAAGCACUUUGAAAAGAGAGUUAAACAGCACGUGAAAUUGUUGAAAGGGAAGCGCUUGCAACCAGACUCGCUCGCGGGGUUCAGCCGGGCUUCGGCCCGGUGUACUUCCCCGCGGGCGGGCCAGCGUCGGUUUGGGCGGCCGGUCAAAGGCCUCCGGAAUGUAGCGCCCUUCGGGGCGCCUUAUAGCCGGGGGUGCAAUGCGGCCAGCCUGGACCGAGGAACGCGCUUCGGCACGGACGCUGGCAUAAUGGUUGUAAACGACCCGUCUUGACAC
Molecule: ribosomal RNA, 576 nt
Filed under: Aspergillus terreus
Lineage: Eukaryota; Fungi; Ascomycota; Eurotiomycetes; Eurotiales; Aspergillaceae
Description: partial large subunit ribosomal RNA
Rfam family: Eukaryotic large subunit ribosomal RNA
Source: RNAcentral